GGGGAAUAUUGCGCAAUGGGGGAAACCCUGACGCAGCAACGCCGCGUGAAUGAAGAAGGCCUUAGGGUUGUAAAGUUCUGUCAUAUGGGAAGAUAAUGACGGUACCAUAUGAGGAAGCCACGGCUAACUACGUGCCAGCAGCCGCGGUAAUACGUAGGUGGCAAGCGUUGUCCGGAUUUACUGGGCGUAAAGGAUGCGUAGGCGGACAUUUAAGUCAGAUGUGAAAUACCCGGGCUCAACUUGGGUGCUGCAUUUGAAACUGGGUGUCUAGAGUGCAGGAGAGGAAAGCGGAACUCCUAGUGUAGCGGUGAAAUGCGUAGAGAUUAGGAAGAACACCAGUGGCGAAGGCGGCUUUCUGGACUGUAACUGACGCUGAGGCAUGAAAGCGUGGGGAGCAAACA
RNAcentral lists this ribosomal RNA (401 nucleotides) under uncultured Clostridium sp. Its description in RNAcentral is "bacterial SSU rRNA". It matches the Rfam family "Bacterial small subunit ribosomal RNA", at positions 356 to 774 of the family's 1533-position model. Lineage: Bacteria; Bacillati; Bacillota; Clostridia; Eubacteriales; Clostridiaceae. The record is from RNAcentral.